This 1934-nucleotide long non-coding RNA is filed under the name Carica papaya (papaya). Its description in RNAcentral is "long non-coding RNA (CPAP_LNC012776)". The record is from RNAcentral. Lineage: Eukaryota; Viridiplantae; Streptophyta; Magnoliopsida; Brassicales; Caricaceae.
GGUUUCUUUUUAAAGUAGUAAUGAAAAGAGAAAGACAAAUCUAGGAGGUUAUACUAUUAUACAUUAUGGUUUGGAUAAUUUGUAUUUGUUGCCACUAAUCUUUGAAAGCCACUAGAUUUUUAUAUAAUGAUGAAUCUUGAUAUGAUGUUGUUGUAUGAAAUCUUACUUUAAAAAUCUUUUUAUUUAUUUAUUUAUAUAAUGUAGUAAUGAACUCUCUGAUUGUUAAUAGCAUGUAGAAGGGAAAAACUCUGCUUCAAAUGGUGGGCUGUCAUGCCUCCAACAAUUUCCACCAUUAAGUGAAAAAGGAGCAAGUGUUUGGAAAUUAAAGUAGUAAUUUAUAUUCACCAUUAUAUUUCCACUCUUGUAUUAUAUUACAGGAGAUAAUAUUAUGCCUAAUCAGGUACGGUAUCAUUUCCCUCAAUUGGGUGGCAGUGGCAUGUCUUGUUCCUUUCUGCCCAGAAAAUUGUUAAGACUUUUACUAUAUAUGAUGCUCUGUUUGGUGAAUAAUUUCUUUCUUUUGGGUCUUUCCUUUUAUAGCCAAACAGCAAAUGAAAUGAUAUGCUUGACUUAUAUGUUUAAGUAGAGCCAAAAGAAGUGCUAUAAAACGGAAUUUUGCCCAAGUAGCUAAAUUCUUCCUUCUCAGUGUUUUGGAAAAAAUUGGAUUCAUUUCCAAAUGUUUCAUUAUUAUACCAACAACAGAGUGUGUUUAUGGGCAUUUUUGGUGUUUGAUUUUGCUUCAAUCAUGAUAUGGGAAAUGCUUGGUGACUUAGUAGGUCAAUAUUAAGUUACGGUAACUUCAAUUUGGUGUAUAAUUAGUGUUUGAUUAUGCUCUAUAUAAGUCAUGAUUAUUUAAUGUAUUCCAUCGUAUGAUACUACUGCGAGAAAUAACUGAUUAUUUCGUUAUAUAAUUAGUUGUAUAAUUAGCAUAUAAGUCAUGUUUGGCAUGAGUUUAGAGUUGGAACUCAGGAUGCUGUUGUAUUUAUGUAAUAUAUUUCAGCAGAAUAUAUGGUAGGUUUUGUGCUUUGAGCCUAAUUGAGUUGUGUAUGAGAGCAUGUGCCAAUAAUUUCACAAUUAUUCCCACAGGAGUUGCUCCAAAUCUUACAUUGCCUGCAUGUGAUUGAACGCGGGAAAAUAUUAAUUCUUUGGAGUCCAUUAUAUCUGUUGUACGGUGAAAUGCUACUGUGUUUCCAUGGUAGGAUUGUCUGACUUCUGGCUCCGUACUAAAAAAUGAACAGAGAGGAGUCACUCAUGAAAUACCACAAAGGUAACAUGAUGUUUCUUUUCUUUGUAAUGUUAACAUAAACUGCCUUAAUAUGACUCGAGCCCGGAUCACAUUCAGAGAGGUGACUGGCACUAACAGUCCGAUUGAGCGCAGAUGUUUCAGACCAUAAGUUAUUUGAAUCUUAUUCGAAGUGUUGAUCUGACAAAUGGAAGAGAUAAAUUAACAGGGGUUGGAGUUGCAAUUGAUUCACUUUUUUUAGCUCUUGGUUUAAGGAUAGUAAGGCAAAAUUCUGCUUGAGACGACCCAAUAUCAAUUGAGAUCGCAGAUGGUAUCCUAUGUUCAUAUAUGUAUAUAUAUAUACGAACAUACGUAUACACCCCCCAUAUGGUAAUCAAAGGAAUGGAACGUUAACCAUUAUAUCAACUCUUAUCACGCACCGACAUAGGAGUUUUCUCCGUCAUCUUUACUAAUGCACAUAAACAUAUAUAGAUAUAUAAACAUAAAGCGAAAAUUCCAAGCAUUAGCUAAGAAUAAACAUGAACUGGUAAAAUGCAAUAACUACUUGGAACAUCUCUGCAAAUAGGCUAAGUAAUACUAAUAAUUCAACGAGUAAAUUUUUACUCUCUUUGGAAGUUGUUAUAUUAUACAAAAAUUACUAAAAUAAAGAUGAACAAUAUUGUAUUUUUACAGACUACAUUAUAUAUACUGCUCC